RNAcentral lists this ribosomal RNA (496 nucleotides) under uncultured bacterium. RNAcentral describes it as "partial 16S ribosomal RNA". It matches the Rfam family "Bacterial small subunit ribosomal RNA", at positions 30 to 508 of the family's 1533-position model. The record is from RNAcentral.
UGAACGCUGGCGGCGUGCCUAAUACAUGCAAGUCGAGCGAACAGACGAGGAGCUUGCUCCUCUGACGUUAGCGGCGGACGGGUGAGUAACACGUGGAUAACCUACCUAUAAGACUGGGAUAACUUCGGGAAACCGGAGCUAAUACCGGAUAAUAUAUUGAACCGCAUGGUUCAAUAGUGAAAGACGGUUUUGCUGUCACUUAUAGAUGGAUCCGCGCCGCAUUAGCUAGUUGGUAAGGUAACGGCUUACCAAGGCGACGAUGCGUAGCCGACCUGAGAGGGUGAUCGGCCACACUGGAACUGAGACACGGUCCAGACUCCUACGGGAGGCAGCAGUAGGGAAUCUUCCGCAAUGGGCGAAAGCCUGACGGAGCAACGCCGCGUGAGUGAUGAAGGUCUUCGGAUCGUAAAACUCUGUUAUUAGGGAAGAACAAAUGUGUAAGUAACUAUGCACGUCUUGACGGUACCUAAUCAGAAAGCCACGGCUAACUACGUGC